RNAcentral lists this ribosomal RNA (710 nucleotides) under uncultured Rhodoglobus sp. RNAcentral's name for it is "bacterial SSU rRNA". It matches the Rfam family "Bacterial small subunit ribosomal RNA", at positions 57 to 780 of the family's 1533-position model. The record is from RNAcentral. Lineage: Bacteria; Bacillati; Actinomycetota; Actinomycetes; Micrococcales; Microbacteriaceae.
GCAGUCGACGAUGACUUUUGUGCUUGCACAGAAUGAUUAGUGGCGAACGGGUGAGUAACACGUGAGUAACCUGCCCCUGACUCUGGGAUAAGCCUGGGAAACUGGGUCUAAUACUGGAUAUGCACCGUAGACCGCAUGGUUUUUGGUGGAAAGAAUUUUGGUCAGGGAUGGACUCGCGGCCUAUCAGCUUGUUGGUGAGGUAAUGGCUCACCAAGGCGACGACGGGUAGCCGGCCUGAGAGGGUGACCGGCCACACUGGGACUGAGACACGGCCCAGACUCCUACGGGAGGCAGCAGUGGGGAAUAUUGCACAAUGGGCGAAAGCCUGAUGCAGCGACGCCGCGUGAGGGAUGACGGCCUUCGGGUUGUAAACCUCUUUCAGUAGGGAAGAAGCGAAAGUGACGGUACCUGCAGAAGAAGCGCCGGCUAACUACGUGCCAGCAGCCGCGGUAAUACGUAGGGCGCAAGCGUUAUCCGGAAUUAUUGGGCGUAAAGAGCUCGUAGGCGGUUUGUCGCGUCUGCCGUGAAAGUCCGAGGCUCAACUUCGGAUCUGCGGUGGGUACGGGCAGACUAGAGUGAUGUAGGGGAGACUGGAAUUCCUGGUGUAGCGGUGAAAUGCGCAGAUAUCAGGAGGAACACCGAUGGCGAAGGCAGGUCUCUGGGCAUCUACUGACGCUGAGGAGCGAAAGCAUGGGGAGCGAACAGGAUUA